CCUACGGGCGGCAGCAGUGGGGAAUAUUGGACAAUGGGCGAAAGCCUGAUCCAGCCAUGCCGCGUGUGUGAAGAAGGCCUUCGGGUUGUAAAGCACUUUCAGUGGGGAAGAAAGCCUUGGGGCUAAUACCCUCGAGGAAGGACAUCACCCACAGAAGAAGCACCGGCUAACUCCGUGCCAGCAGCCGCGGUAAUACGGAGGGUGCGAGCGUUAAUCGGAAUUACUGGGCGUAAAGCGCGCGUAGGCGGUCUGAUAAGCCGGUUGUGAAAGCCCCGGGCUCAACCUGGGAACGGCAUCCGGAACUGUCAGGCUAGAGUGCAGGAGAGGAAGGUAGAAUUCCCGGUGUAGCGGUGAAAUGCGUAGAGAUCGGGAGGAAUACCAGUGGCGAAGGCGGCCUUCUGGACUGACACUGACGCUGAGGUGCGAAAGCGUGGUAGCAAACAGGAUUAGAUACCCUGGUAGUC
This 464-nucleotide ribosomal RNA is filed under the name Vreelandella stevensii. RNAcentral's name for it is "partial 16S ribosomal RNA". It matches the Rfam family "Bacterial small subunit ribosomal RNA", at positions 338 to 795 of the family's 1533-position model. The record is from RNAcentral. Lineage: Bacteria; Pseudomonadati; Pseudomonadota; Gammaproteobacteria; Oceanospirillales; Halomonadaceae.